Molecule: ribosomal RNA, 506 nt
Filed under: uncultured bacterium
Lineage: Bacteria
Description: bacterial SSU rRNA
Rfam family: Bacterial small subunit ribosomal RNA
Source: RNAcentral
AUGGCUCAGGAUGAACGCUAGCUACAGGCUUAACACAUGCAAGUCGAGGGGCAGCAUUGGGGUAGCAAUACUCAGAUGGCGACCGGCGCACGGGUGAGUAACACGUAUCCAACCUGCCGCUUACUCGGGGAUAGCCUUUCGAAAGAAAGAUUAAUACCCGAUGGUAUAAAGAGUUCGCAUGUUCUCUUUAUUAAAGAAUUUCGGUAAGCGAUGGGGAUGCGUUCCAUUAGAUAGUUGGCGGGGUAACGGCCCACCAAGUCUACGAUGGAUAGGGGUUCUGAGAGGAAGGUCCCCCACAUUGGAACUGAGACACGGUCCAAACUCCUACGGGAGGCAGCAGUGAGGAAUAUUGGUCAAUGGACGAGAGUCUGAACCAGCCAAGUAGCGUGAAGGAUGACUGCCCUAUGGGUUGUAAACUUCUUUUAUAAGGGAAUAAAGUGAGGGACGUGUCCCUUUUUGUAUGUACCUUAUGAAUAAGGAUCGGCUAACUCCGUGCCAGCAGCAGC